RNAcentral lists this ribosomal RNA (253 nucleotides) under uncultured bacterium. RNAcentral's name for it is "partial 16S ribosomal RNA". It matches the Rfam family "Bacterial small subunit ribosomal RNA", at positions 524 to 776 of the family's 1533-position model. The record is from RNAcentral.
UACGAAGGGAUCUAGCGUUGUUCGGAAUUACUGGGCGUAAAGGGUGCGUAGGCGGUUUGAAAAGUCAGAAGUGAAAGCCCAGGGCUCAACCCUGGAAUAGCUUUUGAUACUUUCUUACUUGAGGACAGGAGAGGUUAGUGGAAUUCCCAGUGUAGAGGUGAAAUUCGUAGAGAUUGGGAAGAACACCAGUGGCGAAGGCGACUAACUGGACUGUAUCUGACGCUGAGGCACGAAAGUGUGGGGAUCAAACAGG